RNAcentral lists this ribosomal RNA (539 nucleotides) under Petrarctus veliger. Its description in RNAcentral is "partial 16S ribosomal RNA". It matches the Rfam family "Bacterial large subunit ribosomal RNA", at positions 1819 to 2625 of the family's 2925-position model. The record is from RNAcentral. Lineage: Eukaryota; Metazoa; Arthropoda; Malacostraca; Decapoda; Scyllaridae.
GUCUUUAUGAGUUUAAUGUAAAGUCUAACCUGCCCAAUGAUAUAAAUUUAAUGGCCGCGGUAUUUUGACUGUGCGAAGGUAGCAUAAUAAUUAGUCUUUUAAUUGGAGGCUGGAAUGAAAGGUUGAACAAGAAGUUGACUGUCUCUAAAUUAAAUCUUGAAUUUAACAUUUAAGUGAAAAGGCUUAAAUAUUUUAAGGGGACGAUAAGACCCUAUAAAUCUUUAUACCUAAAUUUAUAAAUCAAAAAAAAUAUUAAUUUUUGUUUGAUAAGCUUAGGUAUUUUGUUGGGGCGACAAAAGCAUAAAAUGUAACUGCUUUAAAAUAAUAGUUAAAUGGUGUUUAGUUAAGUGAUCCUUUAAUAAGGAUAAUAGAUUAAGUUACUUUAGGGAUAACAGCGUAAUUUUUUUUGAGAGUUCAUAUCGAAAAAAAAGUUUGCGACCUCGAUGUUGAAUUAAAGAUCCUUUGUGGUGCAGAAGCUAUGAAAGGAGGUCUGUUCGACCUUUAAAUCUUUACAUGAUUUGAGUUCAGACCGGCGUAAG